GACGGAGCAGUGCAUUGGCAAUAUGCCAAGGGCAGUAACAUGCCGUCAGUCACGUCAGUCAUCGGCCUUGGCUAUCUGUAAGAAUCUUGGCAGGAAUCUUGGCCUUUUCUUGGACCCAUAGCCUCGGCCUUCGACCAAUCAUAUCGCCGAAUUCGCAAGCGGUGAGAGACAAAUACGGCGUGCCAAAGACAUAUUGGGUGUCUCAAAAUCACUGAGAACUCUGUAGCCAAUCUGUAGCUCAAAACUUAAGCCCUGCACUCUUUUAGAUCUACCCCGUUGAGUGGCAUUCUUGUGAAAAUUAUGUUAAGAUAUUUAUCAGAAUAAGGUAGAAGUGUAGGGGGUGGCAGGUAAGGUGCAGAAGAAGAAGAAGAAGAAGUUGUACCUAUCCAGUAAUUUUAUCUUGAUUUGUGGACUAGACGAAGACUAGAUUUUGAUGAAGAAAUCGACAAACUUGAACUGCAGGACUCGUGGCGCUGCUCGCCUCCUCGCCAAUGCGAAUGCGUUCUCUGAGGACAACCCGCCCAAGGCUACCAUGGCGAAGCCACGCCACCGCGCCGGCUAUAGACUCACGGCCUGAAGCGAGUUUGGGCGCGACGGCUGGCGAGCCAAGGUGGCGGAAAGUCGUCUGGCGGAGCUCCCGUCUGAGGCGAGCUUGAUCUGGUCAGACAGCUCCGCCAUCGAUGGUGUGCUAGAUGGAGGAGGAGGGGCCACCCCCCCCCCCCCCCCCCGAACCGCGACAUCCGAGAGGUGCGUGUCGCGGCAGGCGCCCUCUGCUCUAGCACGCGCGGCGAGCUAUUCGCCCUAAGAGCGGUGUUGGAGGAGCUGGCCGGACGGAUGGUACCGGUCGAUAUGGGUCGACCGCCGUCUAUCCCAACGGUAGCGCCGAUUGACGUGGGCGCUAUCUGCAAGGCAGGCGCGCGCGCGACGCUGCGCGCGCCUGGCAGCGGAGCUGGCCGGACGGAUGGUACCGGUCGAUAUGGGUCGACCGCUGUCCUGGCUCCGUCCUGGAGGCCGACCGUGCAGUCGUUAUCGACAUCCGCCAGUACCUGCUCUGCAUCGGCCGCCUCCCGAGGCCGGAUGCCCACAAUUCAACGACGUGUAGUGCCCUGCUGCCCGAUGCCGCGUCUGCCGCGAAGAGGCUGGCACUCCACGGUAUGUGCUGCUGCGAUGCGUGGCGCUGGCGGCGUUGCGACAAAGAGCCUCGGCAGCUGAACUGCUUCAAGCGACGUAAUGAUAUCUGCCAUCCCCUCCCCUAUCGAGCCGCGUGGGUGUGGACGGACCGGUCGGCAGACGCGAGAACCUGCAGCGAAGGAGCUGGGGUCUACGGGGAGUAGCAGGACGAAUGGACUGAUGAGCCGCGUGUCCCGACCGGUCCAUUCUGCUGUUCCAGCUCCAGGACCGGCCGCGCCGUCGCCACCCGUCCGGCGUCAGUGGAGGACCGCUCAUCAGCUGUCGAUUUUCAUCAGUUUCGUUUGGACCACUGGUCGGGCUCCUGCCAGUGCCGACAUUGGGUUGGGCGGAGUCCUAUCGAUGAAUGCCGCGAGUGCUGCAACAUUGGCUCGGUACAUCUCGGUACAUUUUCCCGAGUCUGGUGUGGCUACGGGGAGACGGAUUUGGUGACCCUGGCUGCCGCCGUGAGAACCAUCCAGAACCGUACGGCUAUGCUGCGGCAGCAGCUGAAAGGAACGCAACAACAAUAACUACAACAGCAGCUGCUAAUGAAAGGGGAAAUCAUGGAGCCGGAUGACCCGGCACAUGGCGCUCAGCCAGCUGAGAAUGAGAGCAGCUAUCAAAUCGCCAGCAGGGUGCUGCGGCUGGUAACUGACGACCUUAACAGAGAGAGCGCCUCCGCUGAUGCGGAUGAAACUACCCCCUCUCGGGUUUGUUUGACGCCGUCUCCGUCGACUCUUUCGCCUGGGCCGGCUGGCGACCGCGAAAUUUCUUGUGCAGUGACUCGUAACUAUGUUCACCAAACUUUUAAAACUCCUCACGUUAGCAUCUUUAAAGAAUGUUUCCCUUGUACACUGCUGCAAUGUCUUAUGUAGGCAUAUUGUAGGUACAGUCUAAAUGAGUGUGGAAUGCUUUGUUGUGCUUGCUUGUUCUGUAUUUCGUCUGCUAUUUAUCACGGUGACUAUAAUUUAUUUUGACCAACCCUUGCCUUGUUGCAAUUUUAGUGGAUGGUUUCUGAACUGCUGUUUGCAUUAUAGAUGUUGCUAGUGCGUAGACGCCAAAGAUUACUUUAUACCUAUUGACGCGCCAGAUAAAGGAGGUGAAGUAUUCCUCUGAUCUCUACCUACGAAAUUCCUUUAUGUGUGUUUUGUAAUCGAUAUUGGCGGUUUUCUUAUGUGAUGCGGUGUAGAGCGUGGCUGAGGAAGGCGAUGUUUAAAGUUGCUAGUUAUUUUUCAAUACAUCUAUGAUCGGAC
This 2423-nucleotide long non-coding RNA is filed under the name Amphibalanus amphitrite. RNAcentral's name for it is "uncharacterized LOC122372116". Lineage: Eukaryota; Metazoa; Arthropoda; Thecostraca; Balanomorpha; Balanidae. The record is from RNAcentral.